This 239-nucleotide ribosomal RNA is filed under the name uncultured bacterium. Its description in RNAcentral is "partial 16S ribosomal RNA". It matches the Rfam family "Bacterial small subunit ribosomal RNA", at positions 116 to 354 of the family's 1533-position model. The record is from RNAcentral.
CGUGAGUAACCUGCCUUGGAGUGGGGAAUAACAGUUGGAAACAGCUGCUAAUACCGCAUAAUAUGUCUGUGUCGCAUGGCACUGGACAUCAAAGAUUUAUCGCUCUGAGAUGGACUCGCGUCUGAUUAGCUGGUUGGCGGGGUAACGGCCCACCAAGGCGACGAUCAGUAGCCGGACUGAGAGGUUGGCCGGCCACAUUGGGACUGAGACACGGCCCAGACUCCUACGGAAGGCAGCAG